RNAcentral lists this ribosomal RNA (443 nucleotides) under uncultured bacterium. RNAcentral describes it as "bacterial SSU rRNA". It matches the Rfam family "Bacterial small subunit ribosomal RNA", at positions 331 to 792 of the family's 1533-position model. The record is from RNAcentral.
CCAGACUCCUACGGGAGGCAGCAGUGGGGAAUAUUGCACAAUGGGGGAAACCCUGAUGCAGCGACGCCGCGUGAGUGAAGAAGUAAUUCGUUAUGUAAAGCUCUAUCAGCAGGGAAGAAAAUGACGGUACCUGAGUAAGAAGCCCCGGCUAACUACGUGCCAGCAGCCGCGGUAAUACGUAGGGGGCAAGCGUUAUCCGGAUUUAUUGGGUUUAAAGGGUGCGUAGGCGGAAGGUUAAGUCAGCGGUCAAAUGUCGGUGCUCAACACCGGCCUGCCGUUGAAACUGGUCUUCUUGAGUGAGCGAGAAGUAUGCGGAAUGCGUGGUGUAGCGGUGAAAUGCAUAGAUAUCACGCAGAACUCCGAUUGCGAAGGCAGCAUACCGGCGGCGAUCUGACGCUGAGGCACGAAAGCGUGGGUAUCGAACAGGAUUAGAUACCCGAGUA